Molecule: ribosomal RNA, 253 nt
Filed under: uncultured bacterium
Lineage: Bacteria
Description: partial 16S ribosomal RNA
Rfam family: Bacterial small subunit ribosomal RNA
Source: RNAcentral
UACGUAGGGUGCGAGCGUUAAUCGGAAUUACUGGGCGUAAAGCGUGCGCAGGCGGUGAUGUAAGACAGGUGUGAAAUCCCCGGGCUUAACCUGGGAACUGCAUUUGUGACUGCAUCGCUGGAGUACGGCAGAGGGGGAUGGAAUUCCGCGUGUAGCAGUGAAAUGCGUAGAUAUGCGGAGGAACACCGAUGGCGAAGGCAAUCCCCUGGGCCUGUACUGACGCUCAUGCACGAAAGCGUGGGGAGCAAACAGG